CGAAGGGGGCGGAGCGUUGUUCGGAAUCACUGGGCGGUAAAGCGUGCGUAGGCGGCGAUGAAAGUUAGAAGUGAAAGCCCAGGGCUCAACCUUGGAAUUGCUUUUAAUACUACAUCGCUCGAAUCUCGGAGAGGAUAGCGGAAUUGUCAGUGUAGCAGUGAAAUGCGUAGAUAUUGACAGGAACACCAGUGGCGUAAGCGGCUAUCUGGACGAGUAUUGACGCUGAGGCACGAAAGCGUGGGGAUCAAACAGGAUUAGAUACCCUGGUAGUCCACGCCGUAAACGAUGUGUGUUUGUCGCUGGGAGGUUUACCUUUCGGUGACGGAGCUAACGCGUUAAACACACCGCCUGGGAAGUACGGUCGCAAGAUUA
Molecule: ribosomal RNA, 372 nt
Filed under: uncultured organism
Description: bacterial SSU rRNA
Rfam family: Bacterial small subunit ribosomal RNA
Source: RNAcentral